GGGGUCGCUUCUAAUCCCCGGUCCCUGGGACCGAUUCGACCAUUUGACCUCAAAUCAGGUAGGACUACCCGCUGAACUUAAGCAUAUCAAUAAGCGGAGGAAAAGAAACUACCCAGGAUUCCCCUAGUAACGGCGAGUGAAGCGGGAAGAGCUCAAAUUUGUAAUCUGGCGGCCCUUGGUCGUCCGAGUUGUAGUCUGGAGAAGCGUCUUCCGCGCCGGACCGUGUACAAGUCCCUUGGAACAGGGCGUCGCAGAGGGUGAGAAUCCCGUCUUUGACACGGAUCGCCGGUGCCUUGUGAUGCGCUCUCGAAGAGUCGAGUUGUUUGGGAAUGCAGCUCAAAUCGGGUGGUAAAUUCCAUCUAAAGCUAAAUAUGGGCGAAAGACCGAUAGCGAACAAGUACCGUGAGGGAAAGAUGAAAAGCACUUUGGAAAGAGAGUUAAACAGUACGUGAAAUUGUUGAAAGGGAAACGCUUGAAGUCAGUCGCGUCUCCCGGGAUUCAGCCUCGGCUUCGGCCGGGGCGUACUUCCCGGGGCGACGGGCCAGCAUCGAUUUCGACCGUCGGAGAAGGGCUCCGGGAACGUGGCACCCUUUUUGGGUGUGUUAUAGCCCGGGGUCGCAUGCGACGGUUGGGAUCGAGGACCGCAGUACGCCGUUAAUUGGUCGGGGUUCGCCCACGUAACGUGCUUAGGAUGCUGGCGUAAUGGCUUUAAGCGACCCGUCUUGAAACACGGACCAAGGAGUCUAACAUGCCUGCGAGUGUUUGGGUGGAAAACCCGGACGCGAAAUGAAAGUGAAAGGUCGGGACCCCUGUCGUGGGGGGCACCGACGCCCGGGCCAGACCUUUUGUGACGGUUCCGAGGUAGAGCAUGCAUGCUGGGACCCGAAAGAUGGUGAACUAUGCCUGAGUAGGGUGAAGCCAGAGGAAACUCUGGUGGAGGCUCGUAGCGAUUCUGACGUGCAAAUCGAUCGUCGAACUUGGGUAUAGGGGCGAAAGACUAAUCGAAC
This 1007-nucleotide ribosomal RNA is filed under the name Ramaria aurantiisiccescens. RNAcentral describes it as "eukaryotic LSU rRNA". It matches the Rfam family "Eukaryotic large subunit ribosomal RNA", at positions 1 to 940 of the family's 3401-position model. Lineage: Eukaryota; Fungi; Basidiomycota; Agaricomycetes; Gomphales; Gomphaceae. The record is from RNAcentral.